AGCUCCAAUAGCGUAUAUUAAAGUUGUUGCGGUUAAAAAGCUCGUAGUUGGAUCUCAGCUCGGGCCGGACGGUCCGCCUACCGGUGGUCACUGUUCGUCGCCCAGCGUUCAGGCGGUUAUUCUUGAUGAUCUUCACCGGUUGUCUCGGGUGACCGCCAAGUUUACUUUGAAAAAAUUAGAGUGCUCAAAGCAGGCGCGACGCCUGAAUAAUUGUGCAUGGAAUAAUGGAAUAGGACCUCGGUUCUAUUUUGUUGGUUUUCGGAACACGAGGUAAUGAUUAAGAGGGACAGACGGGGGCAUUCGUAUUGCGACGCUAGAGGUGAAAUUCUUGGACCGUCGCAAGACGAACUACUGCGAAAGCAUUUGCCAAGAAUGUUUCCA
RNAcentral lists this ribosomal RNA (381 nucleotides) under uncultured eukaryote. RNAcentral describes it as "SSU rRNA". It matches the Rfam family "Eukaryotic small subunit ribosomal RNA", at positions 587 to 972 of the family's 1831-position model. The record is from RNAcentral.